Molecule: long non-coding RNA, 636 nt
Filed under: Ornithorhynchus anatinus (platypus)
Lineage: Eukaryota; Metazoa; Chordata; Mammalia; Monotremata; Ornithorhynchidae
Description: lncRNA (ENSOANG00000047545.1)
Source: RNAcentral
GGCACAUAGUAAGAGCUUAACAAAUGCCAUCAUUAUUAUUAUUAUUAUUUCCAGAGAGACUCCGCUUCUCCCACUUGCCAAUUUCUAGAUCUGAAGUCCAGAGGGUCAGUGGAAAUGCUGAAGGGGCCUCGUGAGCUGGACCGGCAGCUGACCAGUGACUCACUUGAAACCCUCAAACCAAGAUCUCGGAAGUGCAAUGCGACGACGAUGAUGUACCAACAUCUGGUGCUUGCCCGAUUCACAAGACAGCUAUCAAAGAGGAGGUUGAAAUGAAAAGCCAGUGAAGAACAGAAUUUUGAAAAAUUACCCAGAUAUUCUAUCAUAUUUUUCUCAAGAAGAUUAGGGACCUGCAACAAUGGAAAACGUAAAAGAAAAACAAGAAACUCUGUGUCAGUUUUUGACUGGAUUGGAUAUUUUAAUUGUUAAUUUAAUAUAAUUAAUUUAAUAUUUAAUUUUAUUGGCUGUAUGUGAUAGUUUGACUCAAGGUUCUCUUCAGACUAUGCUGUCUUUAUUAUACAAUAGAUGAUGGUGGUUCAAAAUAUGCAAACUUUCCAUUUCACAUGCAACACUAAUGAAAAUAUUUUCUCUUUGAAUUUACUUGAAAAUAUAGCCCUCUUGUGGACACAGAAAGCUCAG